UACGGAGGGUGCAAGCGUUGCUCGGAAUUAUUGGGCGUAAAGGGUAUGUAGGUGGUCUCAUUUGUCUGAGGUGAAAGCCUUGAGCUUAACUCAAGAAGUGCCCCAGAAACGGUGAGACUGGAGUCCUGGAGAGGGUCGUGGAAUUCCCGGUGUAGCGGUGAAAUGCGUAGAGAUCGGGAGGAACACCAGAGGCGAAAGCGGCGACCUGGACAGGCACUGACACUCAACUACGAAAGCGUGGGGAGCAAACAGG
Molecule: ribosomal RNA, 253 nt
Filed under: uncultured bacterium
Lineage: Bacteria
Description: partial 16S ribosomal RNA
Rfam family: Bacterial small subunit ribosomal RNA
Source: RNAcentral